UCACUAGUAUUAUGCACUUUGAACAGUUUGGAGGUAUCCUCAAAGGAAGAAAGAAAUGGUCGCUUUACUUAUGUGGACAACAUUCAUAAUGUCACACAACUUCAAUAAAAUUUAUUCUCACAACCAUAUAAUGAAAAACCAAGAUAAUAAGAACGUAAAAUAAAACAUUAUGUUUUUUUUUUUGGUCAAUCAAAACAUUAUGUUAUUUCUAAACCAAAGAAAUAUUUAGCUCAUAGUGAUCUUACAUGAAAACAUGGAAAGAUAAGAAAAUGAUAACUUCAAUCCAUAUAUAUUACAAAACAUUGAAGAUAACAUACAAAAAUCUUAAUCAACCAGAGUUAAAAAAAAAUAUAUACAAAGUUGCAGAGUUGUCACAGGCUGAUGCAACAGAUCUAAUGCUUGCUCUUUAAACAUGGAGCUUCAAUGGUCUUGAAUGUAAUGAUUUGAAAUGGAAAAUGAGAAAGUGAUGAAAGGUGGCAGCUAGGGUUCUCAAAACCAAGUUAUAAUUUAGCUGAAGACUCCCUUUGUUAGUGGAUAAAAGUGUCCUUUAUAUAGUACUUUUGGUAACUUUCUCUAUCCUUAUCCGUUUUAUGCCACUCUUGUCCUUUUAUCUUUUCAUUCAUUUCAGUCUUUCUUAAUUUCCCAUAUUUGGGCAAAUGUAAUAUUCUCAUUUUGGUCAUUCUCACUGAUGAUGUGUCUCCUUGAUGCUUUUUGAGAGGAUAUAAUUUCAAUUUGG
This 736-nucleotide long non-coding RNA is filed under the name Medicago truncatula (barrel medic). Its description in RNAcentral is "long non-coding RNA (MTRU_LNC005398)". Lineage: Eukaryota; Viridiplantae; Streptophyta; Magnoliopsida; Fabales; Fabaceae. The record is from RNAcentral.